RNAcentral lists this ribosomal RNA (468 nucleotides) under uncultured bacterium. Its description in RNAcentral is "partial 16S ribosomal RNA". It matches the Rfam family "Bacterial small subunit ribosomal RNA", at positions 28 to 507 of the family's 1533-position model. The record is from RNAcentral.
GACGAACGCUGGCGGCGUGCUUAACACAUGCAAGUCGAACGGCAAGGCCCUGAUUUUGUGGGGUGCUCGAGUGGCGAACGGGUGCGUAACACGAGAGUAACCUGCCCUAGACUUUGGGAUAACUUCAGGAAACUGGGGCUAAUACCGGAUAGCAGCUCCUGCAGCAUGGUGGGGGUUGGAACGUUUCGGCGUGAGGGGAUGGACGCGCGGCUUAUCAGUUUGCUGGUGGGGGAGUGGCUGACCAAGCCUUUGACUGGUAGCCGGCCCGGGAGGGUGACCGGCCACAAGGGGACUGAGAGACGGACCAGUGGCGAACAGUGGACAGCAGUGGGGAAUAUGGCACAGUGAUCGGACGUCUGUGGCGGCAGCGUUCGGGUCGGGAUGACGGUUUGCGGGGUGUAAACCGCUUUCGGCUGAGACGAAGCUGGUGUGACGGUAAUGGGUAAAGAAGCACCGGCUAACUACGUG